Small nucleolar RNA from Molossus molossus (Pallas's mastiff bat), 136 nucleotides. RefSeq annotates it as U8 small nucleolar RNA. The transcript has a single exon. The record is from RefSeq and is a predicted model, not a curated record. Lineage: Eukaryota; Metazoa; Chordata; Mammalia; Chiroptera; Molossidae.
UGCUCAGGUAGGGUAAUCCUUACCUGUUCCUCUUAUUGGAAGGCAGAUUGGAACACGAUGAUUUGAGAUCGCAUGAUUCGUGAUUAACGUCUCUGUGUAAUCAGGACAUGCAACACCCUGAUUGCUCCUAUCUGAU